GAUGAACGCUGGCGGCGUGCUUAACACAUGCAAGUCGAACGAUGAAGCCGGAGCUUGCUCUGGUGAAUUAGUGGCGAACGGGUGAGUAACACGUGGGUAACCUGCCCAUAAGACUGGGAUAACUCCGGGAAACCGGGGCUAAUUCCGGAUAACAUUUUGAACCGCAUGGUUCGAAAUUGAAAGGCGGCUUCGGCUGUCACUUAUGGAUGGACCCGCGUCGCAUUAGCUAGUUGGUGAGGUGGCGGCUCACCAAGGCAACGAUGCGUAGCCGACCUGUGAGGGUGAUCGGCCACACUGGGACUGAGACACGGCCCAGACUCCUACGGGAGGCAGCAGUAGGGAAUCUUCCGCAAUGGACGAAAGUCUGACGGAGCAACGCCGCGUGAGUGAUGAAGGCUUUCGGGUCGUAAAACUCUGUUGUUAGGGAAGAACAAGUGCUAGUUGAAUAAGCUGGCACCUUGACGGUACCUAACCAGAAAGCCACGGCUAACUACGUGCCAGCCGCCGCAGUAA
Molecule: ribosomal RNA, 513 nt
Filed under: uncultured bacterium
Lineage: Bacteria
Description: partial 16S ribosomal RNA
Rfam family: Bacterial small subunit ribosomal RNA
Source: RNAcentral